AACGAACGCUGGCGGCAGGCUUAACACAUGCAAGUCGAACGGGUGUAGCAAUACAUCAGUGGCAGACGGGUGAGUAACACGUGGGAACCUUCCUCGUUGUACGGAACAACUCAGGGAAACUUGAGCUAAUACCGUAUACGUCCGAGAGGAGAAAGAUUUAUCGCAAUGAGACGGGCCCGCGUCGGAUUAGCUAGUUGGUGGGGUAACGGCCUACCAAGGCAACGAUCCGUAGCUGAUCUGAGAGGAUGAUCAGCCACACUGGGACUGAGACACGGCCCAGACUCCUACGGGAGGCAG
RNAcentral lists this ribosomal RNA (297 nucleotides) under uncultured Pseudomonadota bacterium. Its description in RNAcentral is "uncultured proteobacterium partial 16S ribosomal RNA". It matches the Rfam family "Bacterial small subunit ribosomal RNA", at positions 29 to 351 of the family's 1533-position model. The record is from RNAcentral. Lineage: Bacteria; Pseudomonadati; Pseudomonadota.